UACGAGGGGGGCGAGCGUUGUUCGGAAUUAUUGGGCGUAAAGGGCGCGUAGGCGGCUUGGCAAGUGGAUGGUGAAAUCCCUCGGCUUAACCGAGGAACUGCCGUCCAAACUGCUUCGCUUGAGACCGGGAGAGGUGAGUGGAAUUCCCAGUGUAGCGGUGAAAUGCGUAGAUAUUGGGAGGAACACCAGUGGCGAAGGCGGCUCACUGGACCGGUACUGACGCUGAUGCGCGAAAGCGUGGGGAGCAAACGGG
This 253-nucleotide ribosomal RNA is filed under the name uncultured bacterium. Its description in RNAcentral is "partial 16S ribosomal RNA". It matches the Rfam family "Bacterial small subunit ribosomal RNA", at positions 524 to 776 of the family's 1533-position model. The record is from RNAcentral.